GCUGGCGGCGUGUCUAGGCAUGCAAGUCGAACGAAUAUUGUAGCAAUACAACAUUAGUGGCAAACGGGAGCGUAACACAUUGGUAACCUACCUUCGAGACGGGCAUAACACUGCGAAAGCGGUGCUAAUUCCCGAUGGUCUUUUCGGUGAAAUUCCGAAAAAGUAAAAUCGCAAGAUACUCGAAGAGGGGCCUAUGGUCUAUCAGCUAGUUGGUGAGGUAAUGGCUCACCAAGGCUUUGACAGAUAGCGGGCGUAAGAGCGUGACCCGCCUCACGGGGACUGAGAUACUGCCCCGACUCCUACGGGAGGCUGCAGUCGAGAAUAUUCCACAAUGGCCGAAAGGCUGAUGGAGCGACGCCGCGUGCAGGAAGAAGCCCUUCGGGGUGUAAACUGCUUUUUUUAGGGACGAACAAAUGACGGUACCUAAAGAAUAAGAGGUUGCUAACUCUGUGCCAGCCGCCGCGGUAAUUCA
This 472-nucleotide ribosomal RNA is filed under the name uncultured bacterium. RNAcentral describes it as "bacterial SSU rRNA". It matches the Rfam family "Bacterial small subunit ribosomal RNA", at positions 35 to 527 of the family's 1533-position model. The record is from RNAcentral.